ACGAGGUAGCAAUACUUUGGUGGCGACCGGCGCACGGGUGCGUAACGCGUGAGCAACCUGCCCUCCACAGGGGGAUAACGCACCGAAAGGUGCACUAAUACCGCAUAAGACCACGUUUCUGACAUGGGAAUGAGGUCAAAGGAGCAAUCCGGUGGAAGAUGGGCUCGCGUCUGAUUAGCUAGUUGGUGAGGUAACGGCCCACCAAGGCGACGAUCAGUAGCCGACCUGAGAGGGUGAACGGCCACACUGGAACUGAGACACGGCCCAGACUCC
RNAcentral lists this ribosomal RNA (273 nucleotides) under uncultured Bacillota bacterium. RNAcentral describes it as "uncultured Firmicutes bacterium partial 16S ribosomal RNA". It matches the Rfam family "Bacterial small subunit ribosomal RNA", at positions 71 to 339 of the family's 1533-position model. Lineage: Bacteria; Bacillati; Bacillota. The record is from RNAcentral.